CCUACGGGUGGCUGCAGUAGGGAAUUUUGCACAAUGGAGGAAACUCUGAUGCAGCGACGCCGCGUGAGUGAUGAAGGCCUUCGGGUCGUAAAGCUCUGUUCUCAGGGAAUAAAAAAAUGAAGGUACCUGAGGAGAAAGGACCGGCUAACUUCGUGCCAGCAGCCGCGGUAAGACGAGGGGUCCAAGCGUUGUUCGGAAUCAUUGGGCGUAAAGCGGGUGUAGGCGGCUCUGCAAGUCAGGAGUGAAAGCCCCAGGCUUAACCUGGGAAGUGCUUU
Molecule: ribosomal RNA, 275 nt
Filed under: uncultured bacterium
Lineage: Bacteria
Description: partial 16S ribosomal RNA
Rfam family: Bacterial small subunit ribosomal RNA
Source: RNAcentral